AAUUUUGUAGUUUAAAAAAAAUUUUAAAUUGCAAGUUUAAAAAUGACAAAAAAUCCAAAAUUU
RNAcentral lists this transfer RNA (63 nucleotides) under Archipsocus nomas. Its description in RNAcentral is "tRNA-Cys". Lineage: Eukaryota; Metazoa; Arthropoda; Insecta; Psocodea; Archipsocidae. The record is from RNAcentral.